AUUGAACGCUGGCGGCAUGCCUUACACAUGCAAGUCGAACGGCAGCACGGGUGCUUGCCCCUGGUGGCGAGUGGCGAACGGGUGAGUAAUACAUCGGAACAUGUCCUGUAGUGGGGGAUAGCCCGGCGAAAGCCGGAUUAAUACCGCAUACGAUCUACGGAUGAAAGCGGGGGACCUUCGGGCCUCGCGCUAUAGGGUUGGCCGAUGGCUGAUUAGCUAGUUGGUGGGGUAAAGGCCUACCAAGGCGACGCUCAGUAGCUGGUCUGAGAGGACGACCAGCCACACGGGGACUGAGACACGGCCCAGACUCCUACUGGAGGCAGCAGUGGGGAAUUUUGGACAAUGGGCGAAAUCCUGAUCCAGCAAUGCCGCGUGUGUGAAGAAGGCCUUCGGGUUGUAAAGCACUUUUGUCCGGAAAGAAAUCCUUGGCCCUAAUACGGUCGGGGGAUGACGGUACCGGAAGAAUAAGCACCGGCUAACUACGUG
RNAcentral lists this ribosomal RNA (486 nucleotides) under uncultured bacterium. RNAcentral's name for it is "partial 16S ribosomal RNA". It matches the Rfam family "Bacterial small subunit ribosomal RNA", at positions 30 to 507 of the family's 1533-position model. The record is from RNAcentral.